RNAcentral lists this ribosomal RNA (433 nucleotides) under uncultured bacterium. RNAcentral describes it as "partial 16S ribosomal RNA". It matches the Rfam family "Bacterial small subunit ribosomal RNA", at positions 30 to 507 of the family's 1533-position model. The record is from RNAcentral.
AGCGAACGCUGGCGGCAUACUUAACACAUGCAAGUCGCACGGGCAGCAAUGUCAGUGGCGGACGGGUGAGUAACGCGUAGGAACGUGUCCUGAGGUGGGGGACAACCCCGGGAAACUGGGGCUAAUACCGCAUAUGGGCUGAGGCCCAAAGCCGAGAGGCGCCUUUGGAGCGGCCUGCGUCCGAUUAGGUAGUUGGUGGGGUAAAGGCCUACCAAGCCUGCGAUCGGUAGCUGGUCUGAGAGGACGACCAGCCACACUGGGACUGAGACACGGCCCAGACUCCUACGGGAAGCAGCAGUGGGGAAUAUUGGACAAUGGGCGAAAGCCUGAUCCAGCAAUGCCGCGUGGGUGAAGAAGGUCUUCGGAUCGUAAAGCCCUUUCGACGGGGACGAUGAUGACGGUACCCGUAGAAGAAGCCCCGGCUAACUUCGUG